Molecule: ribosomal RNA, 253 nt
Filed under: uncultured bacterium
Lineage: Bacteria
Description: partial 16S ribosomal RNA
Rfam family: Bacterial small subunit ribosomal RNA
Source: RNAcentral
UACAGAGGGUGCGAGCGUUACUCGGAAUUACUGGGCGUAAAGCGCACGUAGGUGGCGACGUAAGUCGGGUGUGAAAGCCCCGGGCUCAACCUGGGAAUUGCAUUCGAGACUGCAUUGCUGGAGUACGGAAGAGGAGGGCGGAAUUCCCGGUGUAGCGGUGAAAUGCGUAGAUAUCGGGAGGAACAUCAGUGGCGAAGGCGGCCCUCUGGUCCAGUACUGACACUCAAGUGCGAAAGCGUGGGGAGCAAACAGG